RNAcentral lists this ribosomal RNA (496 nucleotides) under uncultured bacterium. RNAcentral describes it as "partial 16S ribosomal RNA". It matches the Rfam family "Bacterial small subunit ribosomal RNA", at positions 28 to 506 of the family's 1533-position model. The record is from RNAcentral.
GAUGAACGCUGGCGGCGUGCCUAAUACAUGCAAGUCGAGCGAACAGACGAGGAGCUUGCUCCUUCGACGUUAGCGGCGGACGGGUGAGUAACACGUAGGUAACCUACCUAUAAGACUGGGAUAACUUCGGGAAACCGGAGCUAAUACCGGAUAAUAUUUCGAACCGCAUGGUUCGAUAGUGAAAGAUGGCUUUGCUAUCACUUAUAGAUGGACCUGCGCCGUAUUAGCUAGUUGGUAAGGUAACGGCUUACCAAGGCAACGAUACGUAGCCGACCUGAGAGGGGGGUCGCGACAAGAGGAAACUAGACGCGUGCCAGAAACCUCCGGGGGGCAGGCGUAGGGAAUGUUCCGAAAUGGGCGAAAGCCUAACGGAUCAACCCCGGGUAAGUGAUAAAGGUCAUCGGACCGUAAAACUCUGUUAUUAAGGAAAAACAAACGCGUAAGUAACUGUGCACCCCUUGACGGUACCUAUUCAGAAAGCCACGGCUAACUACGU